AACGCACCUUGCGCUCCUUGGUAUUCCGAGGAGCAUGCCUGUUUGAGUGUCAUGAAAACCCUCAACCCUAGAUUGGUUAAAACCUUUCUUUGGUUUGGAUUUGGACGUUUGCCGAUGAUAAGUCGGCUCGUCUUAAAAGUAAUAGCUGGAUCUGUCUCGCGACAUGGUUUGACUUGGCGUAAUAAGUAUUUCGCUAAGGACAUCUUCGGAUGGCCGCGUUGCAGGACUAAAGACCGCUUUCUAAUCCAUUGAUCUUACGAUUAAUAUUCUUGACAUCUGGCCUCAAAUCAGGUAGGACUACCCGCUGAACUUAA
This 314-nucleotide unclassified non-coding RNA is filed under the name Piloderma sp. RNAcentral's name for it is "partial contains 5.8S ribosomal RNA, internal transcribed spacer 2, and large subunit ribosomal RNA". The stretch from base 1 to 52 matches the Rfam family "5.8S ribosomal RNA", at positions 103 to 154 of the family's 154-position model. Lineage: Eukaryota; Fungi; Basidiomycota; Agaricomycetes; Atheliales; Atheliaceae. The record is from RNAcentral. RNAcentral also lists the same sequence under 2 other names.